This is a non-coding RNA of Cyanistes caeruleus (blue tit), 3550 nucleotides long. Lineage: Eukaryota; Metazoa; Chordata; Aves; Passeriformes; Paridae. The record is from RefSeq and is a predicted model, not a curated record.
GAUACGUGACGAAGGAAAGCAUAGUAUCCCCGGACAUCGCUAUCUCUAUGAGACUGAUGUAGAGAUCUCAUUGGUUGGUGGCAGUUGCAAAAGCCCUGUUGAAAAAUUUUGGAAUGGAAACAGUGCAAUAUAUAUUUUGCAGAAAGCUAUGCACAAUGAAGAAAGUGACUCCAUGGAGGAAUCAAAAGUAGAUGAUGCUGUUGGUGCCUCUGGGGUUUUGCCAAAGGAGAGUCCUGGAGCCCUGGCUCUUUCUGUUGGAAGAGCAAAGCAUUUGAUUUCCUUGUACACAAUGGUGCAAAACCCAAACAUGACCCACCUGGGGAUAAGUGACCUGGUUGUUCUUCCUCCCCUCUGGGCCAGGUGUGAUGGUUCUGACCCUCAGCACACCUGCUGGAUUGGAGCUGAGCCUCUCAAGGCUGGAAACAAAGUCACAGGCCUCAAUAUUUACACGGUUUCAUGUGAUGGUCCUACAGCUGAUAAAACCUGUUUUGCAAACCUGGAGCAGCUCAAAAUGGAACACAAAAUAAGACAUCAUUCAUCCGUUGUGACAACAAAAGGAUUUGCUCAGUAUGAGCUGAUUGCAGCUGCUGCAAUAGAGGACACCAUUUCAGAAUUUGGAAGCAACAUCUGUGUGGAUAUCACGUGGAAUGGUGUGGAAGAGAUUCUGGAGACUCCCCCACUGAUCUCUGCUGCCACCCUGAAUAUUGUCCUGGAGUCGGGGGACCCCAGAAGUCCUGUGUUCCAGCUGUACCGAGAGCUGCAGUUCCUCUUGGUUUUGGCUGAAGGUCUGAAGACGGGUGUGACUGAGUGGCCUGAGCCAUCAGAGUCUGAUUCAGCUCUUAAACUGGUCCAGGAAUUUCUGACUGAUUUAAAGAAGAAACUGGAUGGGGAUUAUACACUUGGAACCAAGAAUGAAACAGAGAAAAUCAAAUGUGACACAGCUGCUGUGGACAGUUGCAUAAAAUCAAUCUUUGGGGAGCGAGGAGACCUGGAUUUUACUGAGCAAUUAUGGUGCAAAAUGAAAGGUGUUAGUUCCUAUCAGGAAUUAAUAGACUGUUUCACACUGGUCAUAAAAUCCCUGGAACGUGGUGAGAUACAGCCAUGGAUUCAUCAAGGGAGCAGCAGUUUUUUAAGUCAAUUGAUCCAGCAGUCCUACCAUGGAAAGAUGGAGGAUGUUUCCCUCAGUGACAUCACUCCCAUUCAGAUGCUCCUGGAGAUUGGCUUGGAGAAGAUGAAGAAGGAUUAUGUCAGUUUUUUCAUAGGCCAGGAACUUGCAACAGCAACCUACUUGGAUUACUUCACCUCCACAUCAGUGGAUCUCCAGGAACAAGUCCACCGUGUUCAAAAGCUUCACCAUAUGCUGGAAAUAAUGGUCAGCUGUACAGGCUUACUGCAGUUCAGACAUGAGAAUCUCUUCCCUUUGACACAGAUUUGCAUGAAGUAUUACAAGGAGAACCCUCUGGAUGAGAAGCAUGUGUUUCAGCUGCCCAUCAGACCAGCUCUUGUGAAGAAAUUCUAUCAAAAUGAUAACCCUGAAGUCUGGAAGGUGGAGAUAAGUAGUGGGCAUGGACAGAAGGAGGUUAAAACAACGUGGCAAGUCAGUACCAAUGCUCCAGUUGAACAUGGGACAUCAGACAAUUCAGGUUUCUUUUCUGACUCUGCAGUAAAUGGAAGCAGUGAAGAAAGGCUGUAUUUUAUUACCAUGACUCAGUGCAGUCAGGUGCAGUUCACUUAAGUUGAUGUUACUGAACAGGCAGGACUGGAAAGAGUUGUGUAAGGUAAGUCUGGUUCCUGUAAACCAAACUGCAGAGAUGUGGUUGAAAUCUGCUUCAGAAGUUGUCACCUUGGAUUACUCACUUCAAACAACUCUCCACACCUAAAUAGCAAGGUAUAUAUUCUCCUAAUUUUUAGACAUGAAUAAGUUCAUAUUUAAGCAGUGCUCUUGGAAUAUUUAAGUCCUUUUAUAUUUUAAAAUCAUGUGUUUGUCUUUCUUCAAAUGGCAAUUACAUGGUAAUCAAAAUGCUGUUGAUGAACAGACUGAAAUCAGAAUUUGCAAGCAAGCUUUUAAUCACUUGAAAUUUGUACUGGCAAGAUUUGAAUCACUUUACUCUUAACUAUAUCUCUGGUGAACAAAAUGUGUAUUAGUUUGCAAAAUAAUUAGGAUUGUAAAAUCUACUGCUUAGAAUCAAUGGAAGAGAAUGUAUUUGGUAAAAAGAUGUUUUGGGAGUUGAAUAGAAAAAUUAUAAAAGCUCUAGGUAGAUUGGUAAAUAAUAUUUCAUUACAGGGGUAUAAAAAGAGGAAUCUGUGGUAAAUUUUAACCACUCAAAUAAAACAGUUGCAGCUCAGUCCUUUUGGCAAAUGAAGAUGUGUGCAAACAUCAAUUUUAGCUGUGAUUUCGAAGGUAGAAUAUGAGGAGGACAAUACUGAUGAGAAUGCAGAGUGUGAAAACUGUAGGAAGAACAAUCUCUGUCACCAUUUCCAUGAACUGCACAGCUGCCUUGGGAAAAUGUAACUACUUCAGCAUUAAAGGCUUUAGUCCUGGAUUUAAAAUAUCUUCACCUUGGCGUUCCAAAUGGGAGCAUUUAGAUUACAGGAUGAAAAAAAAAGCUUGUAGCAGACUACAGACAUUUUAAAUCAGCACUGACCAACAGUCCCAGGAAAAGGAGUCAGGAGAGCAGGAAAUGUUCCGUGGGGUCUGUCCAUGUUUCUGCAGCUGAGGCACUGACCCAGGGCUGUGGAUUCUACAGAGUGCUGCUAGGAGCUCAGUUGGAGUUAGAGGAAUUCCUUGUGGUGGUGUCCUUGUGGAGAAAACAACUCACCCAGUGUGGAUGUUCAGCUCAAGCUACAACUCAUUUCUUUUACUUCAGGAGUCACAUUCAGUUCCUCUCACAAAUAAAGGCACAAAACGAGCUUCGUGCUAAGGGUGGGCCUCCAUUUGAUGUGAGCACUGCAAGCUGCUGCAGGCUACCAGUGAUUGGAAUUUACUUGGAUUAGUCUAAUUGCUGCCUCUGCCAUCAUCUGUUUGCAAUCACAAAGAGGAAGCUUCUGAAGCUUGGGAAUGAGAGAAAAUGAAGUGUCCUGACAACCACAAAACAGCAAGAAAGCUUUUGGAGGUUUUCCCAUCACUGUUUCUGGCCUCUGAAGACAGCACCAGUGAGGAAUAGUGGGAGACAAGCAACACAGACCAGAAAAAGGAAAAGAGAUCCUAAGGGCUGUCAGAACAGCAGCAGCAGUUGGUGUAGAGGACAAACUGCCCUCCAGCCACAAUCCCAUCCUGUGGCUGAUCCAGAGCCUUGGGAAUCAGGCACACGGUGACCUCCAGAGAUGGCUACCAGCAGCAAACCCACAGGACCUGCACUGACACAACACAACAAAAAUCAGUGUAUCAUCAGCCUCUUCCCAGCUCACACAUCAGCUCUCAGAAAUUCCCUCCCACCCUGUUUAGGGAUCUGCUCAAACUGUCCCAUGUUUUUACACCAGAAGCUGUGAAGUGACAGUGCACAGGAGUCAGGAAAUCAUUGAUGGACUCCACACAGAUUUCUGGAGGCAG